GCCCUGGUAGUGUAGUCUGGCCUAACAUAAAGCCCUGUCGAGGCUUUGCCCCGGGUUCAAAAUGGGUGAUGGGCA
Molecule: transfer RNA, 75 nt
Filed under: Candidatus Woesearchaeota archaeon CG11_big_fil_rev_8_21_14_0_20_43_8
Lineage: Archaea; Nanobdellati; Candidatus Woesearchaeota
Description: tRNA-Asp
Source: RNAcentral